Molecule: long non-coding RNA, 5657 nt
Organism: Athene cunicularia (burrowing owl)
Lineage: Eukaryota; Metazoa; Chordata; Aves; Strigiformes; Strigidae
Exons: 3
Source: RefSeq, a predicted model, not a curated record
UUCUCUUACCUUGGCAAAGGCCUCACACAAGAUUUCUCUACUAGAACCUGGAGCUGCAGCAAGUACCUGGGAAGUCACUGAGUUUGCUGUGGCUCUUGAGUGCAAGGCAGUCAGAUGAAGUAAAGAGCUCUCCUGUGAAGUGUGCACCGGAGAGAUGUUUUGGAAAGGACCUGGGACUCCUCGCUUUGAGAGCAGCAAUGUGGGGCUCAACUAAGAAGUCCAACAUAAGAUCAGUGCUGUGGCUGCUGGGGCCAGUGUCUGAGCAUUAUCUUCCCCUGACUGCACAUGUUGGGGAAGAAGCUGGAGAGCAGUCAGACUGCAGAGACUGCUCCUCAAAGCCAUUUUCAGCACAGGACGCUUCCAUUCAUGAGGUUGAUACACAAAAGACAGAUCUUUCCCCACUCCAGGGUGGAAGGAGGCAUAUCAAGAUGACCUUUCUCUGGUGUGAUGCAGUCCAGCAGCUGUUGCUAACAGCCUCUAGGAGCAGAAACAAAUGGAAGCAUCAGCUGAAGCCUAAAACACCAGCAUCUAAGCUGUUGCUUAAGCCACCGUGUUAGAAGAGAGAGAUGAAGGUUUUCUUUGUGACGAAUUGAUGCUAGCACUCCCCUCCAGCGAAGGAGAGAUAACAAGCCCUAAUAAAACCACUUUUCAGCUUCACGGAUACAGCUUUCCUCUACUUCCCCAACAAAAUACCUUCCGUAGCUGAUAGUCCUCCCUGUCUGUGGGAGUUUUGGGGAUCGGUGCUCUCUAAGCCGAGCUCUGCUCACAUGUUUUGUGAUACACCAUGAACUGUUCAGAACCGCACGCUUUCUCGCAUAAUAGGAAGCUGCUGUAUGUUGCUCCUCCUGGGUGGCUCCAAGCAACCAAAGGCUUCAACAUUUGAAAGAUAAAUAUAUGCAGAGCCAGCAGAGGCCAGUGGAGCCAGGGGCUACACCGCUUCCUGCUCUCUGAAAACCUGUAGGAGGAGAGAUGCUAUUGCUCCCAAACACAACCGUGAGCUCAUUAGAGCAGGGAGAGCUGCUUGGGCGCAGGGAGCACCCUGCUGCAUCCCUCCCUGCCGAGGCAAGGGCUGGGCUGGCUCAGUGAGGGUGGGAGUUAGGUUGUCCCCACUGGGGCAGGCUGUGGGCUCGCUGCCUGUCCUGGAGGGUAAGGCAUCUCCAGCAGCAUCAGUCGCUUUUUGUUCUGUUCAAGCUCCUGUGAUUGUGUUGGAAGGGAUCUGUCUCUUUGGGUGGAAUUUUUCUGGCAGUACCUGGGGUUUCUGCAAGCUCUGCCCAUUCCUGCUGUGCUCAGCUGCUCACAAGGGGGAUGCAGUGUGGGGUGUUCUGCUCGCAGCAGCCCAGAGACCUGGGAUAAAAUGGCUUGGAAAAUCCUGUUGAGGUCACCAGUGGUAUGAGUGGAUUAGGUCUCGUCCUUUUGUUUUGAGGACACUUUUUUCCUUGUGAAAUCACCACUGUGUUUUGACUUAACCAGCACAUUGGAAGGACACAGAAUGGGGCAGGCAGAAGACAACACUUGAGUGAAUCUCUGCAAAGGUUUGCUCUUCAUCUCGAGUAUCUGGGCAGAGGGAGGCUAGGGACGCUGCGGCACGAGGCACGGGCCAGCGCUGCUGCCGGGAGGACGGUGAGCAAUGUCAAGGGUGAGUGUGUGUGCUGCUGGCCUGCUCCCACCACGUGCUGCCUGCCUGCUUUCUGCUCUCUCUCAUCUAUCAAAGUAAUGAUGCCCAUUACAUUUCUCCUUUCAGGUUUUACCCUCCCAAAUGUUAUUCCACAGCAUUAAACCCGUGGGGGAAGUGAAUUAUUGGGGAAAGUAACUAGAUAUAAUCCAAGUUUAAUGGGCACAUAGAAAAAGCACAUUGGGUUGGGAGGGUGUCUCAGCCAGCGUCCUGCUUCUGCAGGCAAAUAGAAAUUUAUCUUGAUGUGUGUACAUAUAUAGCUUCGUGAUCUGUGAGCUCUUAAUAAUUGGUUUGGUGACCUGCCGGCAGUGUUCUCUCUCUGUAGAGCUUUCCCCAGUCCCCAGUUAAUAUAAUGGGUCACAAAUCCCAUUUGCUUUUGAAUUCUGAGUAAUCCUUUUGUUAAUGUUGCCUAUUGCUUUUCUGGAAGCGAUGGAGGAAAUCAGAGCUAUGGGCUAAUCAGUAAAUCUGGUUCUGCAUGUUUGUAAGCCCCUGCCCUGCCCUGCUCGCUUUUUCCAAAUGACAAGUGCAGCCCAUUUGUGUCAGACCCAACGCACCCCUCUGCAAAACAGCAAUUGUUUCCCAAGUCAUGUUACUAGCAAAUGACACGGGCUUCAAAUGUUGGAUGAGGUUGGGGAAGGCAGCGGAGGGUGAUGGGGAGUGAGCAGCCAAGUGAUAAGGGGCUUGGGAAGGAGGGAGUCUGGGCAUUUGGGGUGUCUGAUCCCACCAGUGCCCCGUGUGGAGGGGCAGGGAGUUCCCCAUUUCAUGGUUGCGGGAUUGGUGACUGCUGGAGGAGGCACCCAUGGGACACACUUUUCCACUCCUACUCCACCAGUGCUCACAGCUCAACAGCCAGUCUUGCCCCCUGCGCCGAAGUAGGGGAUGUGGCACAGCAGAGGAUGCCCAUCCCAUAGCAUGCUAGAGGCUCCUGAUCUAGCCGGGGCUGGAGGCAGUGAGCAGGAUGGGUGUUGCCUGUCCCAGACCCUCCUGGAUUUCAUAUCCUGUAGUUCUCUCACCCUGGAAGCAGGACUGUGGUGAGCUGUGGCUGUCUUGCCUGCUCUCUCCUGAUUUUGUGGGUAGGUGGGUGUCAGAGCCCUUUCUGAGGGACAAGAAGCUGCCAGAUGACCAGCCCUUAGGGUGGGCAUAGAUUUACCUCUACUAAAGUGAGGGGAGGGAGAGCAUCAGCCCCCCAAAUUUCAUGAAGACCUGUAAAACACUUCACCUGCUGUUGGCGCUAACCCAAAGGCUACAAGUGACUUGUUGGGACUGUGUUCCUCCUGCAGUGGUUGCCCACGAAUUGAACUGGGUGGGAAACUCCAGUAGUGUCUCCAAGCACCAGAAUAUCUGAGUCACAACAUCAGUGUUUCCUGAUUGUUUUUGUUUGUUUCCUGAUUUUUCAGUCUCCUGCACAGCUGACAAGCCUCACCCUUCACCCCUUUCCCUCGCGCGUCGUUUGUCUCCCUAUUUUUAGCCCGUCUGUGGCAUUCUUUACGCAAUGCCUGUGUGCACCACUUUGAUCAGAGUUGCUGACAACCACACGACCUUGAAGUGUAGCAGCCAGCAGCCAGCUCACUGCCGCUUCCACCCUGACUGCGCUGAAGCGACUGGAGUAUGCAAGCUGGCGAGGGGACACCAGCGUCCCUGGCCACCACCGUGUGUUCUGGCACCAGCACCCAGGUCAGCCUUGUCCCAGUUUCUUCCCCGGAGAGCGAGGAGGUAACACAUCUCUGAGGAUCUGAGGGCUCUUUUGGUGUGCACUGGGAAUGAACAGAUAGGCUGGGAACAUCUCACUGCUUGUGCCUGUGUGACCAUGAGACUCCAAACACCAGCCAGAGGGGUCCCCAGGCCUCAGAUAAAGGUUGAAAUCCGAGCAGGGAACCUGCCAGUCUCAGUAAUGUGAUUUGCAGUGAUCUCCUGACUGGGCAGGGAGGGACGAGGGUGCAGGAGCUCCUUGCAGGAUGCUGAUGCAGAGCUUUUUCCAAGGAGGUUGUGUUUCCCCUUGAACGUUAAUUGGGAGCUGCCAGGGUGCAUCUGGGCUCUGUGAUGGGGCUGGAGGCUCCUGUGGGUACCAGGGAGCCAGCAACAAGUUGUGCUGUUUCCAGGGGCAAGGGCAAGCGGGCACGCUGUCCCCAAGGAGCAGGGCAGGGCAGAAGAGCACUCGGAGAUGUAGCAUGGAGCACUCCUGAAGCACCACCAUCAGCAGCACUGUGGAAGCCAACCUGGCUCACUCUCCCUGGCUUACAGGUCAGGGAAGAGACGGGACCAGUGAGCAGUCAGGGACCACCAUGGGAAGCUGGGACCACCGUAACUGGGGACCUGAGUGUGUGAGGGGUGUGUGCUGAGCACUUGUCCCCACUCUGUGCAGUUAGCACCUCCCCCGGGAGGGGACAAGGUGACAUCCCCUCCUUCUCCCAGGACUAAACCAAUCCCCCAGCUGAUUUUUCAGAUGUGAAGCCAGCUGUGCUGCAGAGCUGCUUGGUUCUUGUGUUUUUGGUUUCUUUGUUGAGCCUCAAUAGGACCAUCCAUCUUCUCCUGUCUCCUCCAGAAUGCUUGUGCACCUACUACCAAGGAGUGCUAUAAUCUCAGUACCCAUUUAACAUGAAUAAAAAGCCUUCUGGGACAAUAGGUCAUGGUUAUACAAUUUAAUUCAAGUAGAGAAAAGGCCUUUAUAGCUAUGAAUACAUGAAUACUUAAAAUAUAUAUAUAACAUUGGUUAACAUCAGGACUUAUAAGCAUAAUAUAUAUAUAGUACUGGGUUUAACAGUCUGUUCCUUGACUGGGCUGUAGCUGUUCUGCCUGUCAGCUCUGUCCCAGCGGUUCUUCGUGGCUGGAGUCACAAUUUGCGCUGCUCUGCCCACUUUUGCUGGGCUCUCGGAAGGGAGAGCAGUGGUUAUGGGCAGAGGGAGGCUGGGAAGGGAGGUCUAUGGUUGCUCCUCGGUGGGGAUGGGGAUGUGAGAGGUGAGGAUGCGGCACCUCUGCCUGCGGGUAAGGAAUCACACGCAGAGCUGGGUUGGUUGCUGAUGCACUACACGGCAGUUUGCUCCUGUUAUUUGUCUGCCCUGAAGACAGUGGCAUGCAAGAAAAAGAAAACCACAAACAAGAAGAAGAAAAAUUAAUAGCUUUAAAGAAAAUAAAGUGUCAUUUCUGUAGGUAAUUAAUUACUAAUUAUACAAUCACAGCAUUGUCUGUAUCAUUAAAAUUGCUUGGUUUUUCAAUACAUUGUAGUUUUAAUUAAACAAAUCCUUAGAAUUUUUUUCUCCUCCUUUGUAACACAAAGUCAUUUUUUUUUAUUAGUGCCAAAGAAUAAAUUAAUUGUGUAAUUAGCGACUAUUACUUUGUCACUCCUGGAAGGGCUUUUUCCAGGUUGUAUGUAGACAGUGGCUGGGGAAUGGUUAUGAAAUGUUGUUUGGUACCAAGACUCCUUGGAAGAAGCUGUCUGUGGCUGGAGAUGCUGGUGGAGGUGGGGAUUUGGCAGCACUGGGAUAUAGCCAGAAAGAAGGGGGUGAAAAACUAUGUCAGGGCUGGCCGGAGGAGGCGCUCUCAAGCACUGGCGGGUAUCUGCUUGCUUACUUGCAUGCCUGUGAGGAAACGUUUCAUUUUGAUGCGGAAAUGCUCUCUAGAAGGCAUCCUAAGAUCCUCUAGAAAAGAAGCGGUAGUGAGGCUGCAGCUGCUUUCACGUACUCCCCUUGGUACAGGUGGGAAACUCCGGGGUAGGAUUAAGUGUGCACCAUCACAGUCAUCAUUACAGGGGGCUGAAGGCUGGCAUGUCUGCCCCCUGCCCCACAAUGUGUAGGGUACGCAGCAGAUUCCAGACAGGAAGAGGGGAAUUUAGCAUGCAGCUAGUGAUAGGGUCUUAAUAGAUCUGCACUUAUUAUUUAGAAAAGAAAGAAUCAGGAUUACAGGCUUAUGAGGGAUUAGCAAGCAUGAAUGCGUAUUUCUGUGUAUACUGCUCCUUUUGUAAACCUGUUGUGCCAUUAGCCUGAGACAG